UAGCUGGUUGUCAAACGGG
This 19-nucleotide unclassified non-coding RNA is filed under the name Chlamydomonas reinhardtii. RNAcentral describes it as "small RNA Cre_2306". The record is from RNAcentral. Lineage: Eukaryota; Viridiplantae; Chlorophyta; Chlorophyceae; Chlamydomonadales; Chlamydomonadaceae.